CCUACGGGAGGCAGCAGGGGGGAAUUUUGGGCAAUGGGGGCAACCCUGAUCCAGCCCUCCCGCGUGUGUGAAAAAGCCCUUCGGGUUGUAAAGCACUUUUGGACGGAAUGAAAUCGCGCGGGUGAAUAUCCCGCGUGGAUGACGGUACCGGAAGAAGAAGCACCGGCAAACUAUGUGCCAGCAGCCGCGGUAAUACGUAGGGUGCGAGCGUUUUUUGGAAUUACUGGGCGUAAAGUGUGCGCAGGCGGCCGCGCAAGUCGAGUGUGAAAUCCCCGGGCUUAACCUGGGAAUUGCGCUCGAAACUACGUGGCUGGAGUGUGGCAGAGGAAGGUGGAAUUCCACGUGUAGCGGUGAAAUGCGUAGAGAUGUGGAGGAACACCGAUGGCGAAGGCAGCCUUCUGGGUCAACACUGACGCUCAGGCACGAAAGCGUGGGGAGCAAACAGGAUUAGAUACCCUGGUAGUCCACGCCCUAAACGAUGAUGACUAGUUGUGGAGGAGUUAAAUCCCUUAGUGACGCAGCUAACGCGAGAAGUCAUCCGCUGGAGAGUAC
RNAcentral lists this ribosomal RNA (552 nucleotides) under uncultured soil bacterium. RNAcentral describes it as "bacterial SSU rRNA". It matches the Rfam family "Bacterial small subunit ribosomal RNA", at positions 338 to 883 of the family's 1533-position model. The record is from RNAcentral.